Molecule: ribosomal RNA, 492 nt
Filed under: uncultured bacterium
Lineage: Bacteria
Description: partial 16S ribosomal RNA
Rfam family: Bacterial small subunit ribosomal RNA
Source: RNAcentral
AGUGAACGCUGGCGGUAGGCCUAACACAUGCAAGUCGAACGGCAGCACAGUAAGAGCUUGCUCUUACGGGUGGCGAGUGGCGGACGGGUGAGGAAUACAUCGGAAUCUACUUUUUCGUGGGGGAUAACGUAGGGAAACUUACGCUAAUACCGCAUACGACCUACGGGUGAAAGCAGGGGAUCUUCGGACCUUGCGCGAUUGAAUGAGCCGAUGUGGGAUUAGCUAGUUGGCGGGGUAAAGGCCCACCAAGGCGACGAUCCGUAGCUGGUCUGAGAGGAUGAUCAGCCACACUGGAACUGAGACACGGUCCAGACUCCUGCGGGAGGCAGCAGUGGGGAAUAUUGGACAAAGGGCGCAAGCCUGAUCCAGCCAUACCGCGUGGGUGAAGAAGGCCUUCGGGUUGUAAAGCCCUUUUGUUGGGAAAGAAAAGCAGCAGGUUAAUACCCCGCUGUUCUGACGGUACCCAAAGAAUAAGCACCGGCUAACUUCGUG